GCAGGACACAUUGAUCAUCGACACUUCGAACGCACAUUGCGGCCCUGGGUCCCUCGCGGGGCUACGUCUGCCUGAGGGUCGCU
Molecule: ribosomal RNA, 83 nt
Filed under: Clarias batrachus (walking catfish)
Lineage: Eukaryota; Metazoa; Chordata; Actinopteri; Siluriformes; Clariidae
Description: partial 5.8S ribosomal RNA
Rfam family: 5.8S ribosomal RNA
About the family: 5.8S ribosomal RNA (5.8S rRNA) is a component of the large subunit of the eukaryotic ribosome.
Source: RNAcentral